UUUCAGAUCGUUGCUCAGCACACUGUUAAAAAGCCACGCCUCCAUGCCUCUACGCCGAGGUUUGAGCUGGCGAGGUUUUUCGGCGACGUGGGUCUACCGCGGCGAGGACGCCCAACCUUCGCAAUAUAAUAUAGAGCAUUCUUCAGCGAGGGUUUUACCGGAGGCUGAACACUGAGCGAGGAUCUUGGCGUUCUCGGCUCAGGUGUGGACCGAGGGAAGUUUUGCUUCAGCUUGUUACGAAACAGAUCAGAAGUUUCUGGAACCAUUUCAGCUCCUUUCUUGGAGAUGACCAUAAGAUGUUCAUAAGAAUAAUGUUCUUGGAGAUCUAACUUUGCUUCAGGAUUCUGUGUGUUGAUUUCACCGACUGCUCGUUUAUUAAUAAGUCUUUAUUUAUAUUAUUGUUGAAAACAACUCCAAAUUUAAGAAAGAGGUAAGUUUAGUUUUAUAGAAGAGAGAGCAGUCUCUUUGUCAUAGCUACAAAUAUAAAAACACAUUAAAUCUGCAUCUGUAGAUGACAGUCAGCAAUGCAGCUCCAUUUAAAAGCAUUAAGAUAGAAAUUAAAGUGUGAAUGAGCGACUGCUGUUGUCUGAACUUUUAAUGUGACUCUUUCCUUACUUGUUUAAAAUAUCUUAAUGAUCAGUCAUUACUGCUUUUCCUAAAACCUCAACACAGAAAAAGAAUAAAAACUAAAUGAUGUGAAAUUCAUCACUUUAUUGCUCUACAGCUCUUUUUUUGUCUUUCUUUCGUACAGGGUUCACAAUUGCUUUACGUUAUGUGAUGUGAGAACAAGGUGUGAAUUACUGGGAAAAGUUUUUACCGGUAACCAAUGAAAAACUGACACACCACACACUUACUUGGAAAAUAGUUUCUGGGCGUGUCGGUUUACGUGAAGCACCUGAAUGGGAACUUACAUUAGCCUGUUUGAAAGUGGAAAAAAGUCCAAGAAAAGAGCACUUUUUAAAAUAGAAUAAGAAGUCUAUAAUAUUUCAAGGAAUUGAUUUAAGUAGCGCCGUGAUUUAGAUGUAAUCAGUGUACUGUUUUCUAAUAUUGUCACUAAUAAAAGAUGAAUAUAAUUUAAGGUGUUUUCAAACUGCUGCCAGCUUUUGAAUCUAUACUGAGCCUUUCAGUGUUUUCUCCUUGUGCCUCUGUGGACUGUCUCUGGCACCAAAGUUUCCUCUCAAAGUCCAAAGACAGACAUGUUUGUUCCUGAGUCUGGGUUAGGGAUUUGUUGAAACACCUGAAGCACCUUCUGGUACUUUCUGCGGGACGGACUCACCCAGUUGAACUGCAUUCCACUAAACAAGUUUUUACAGGGCCUGUGCGUCAGAGAUGAAGAGUGCUUGCGUGCAUCUCUUCAAAUUUUCCGUCAGUACACAAGUCAUUCUUACAACUGCUCCUGUCACUCAACUCUCUGGGUUUAUGAAAUAGCAAAAGAAAUGUUGAAAGAAAUGUUAGACCGAAACCAUUCAGAGCUGAAGAGCCUGUUUUAUUCAGAAAUCUGGAGUCAAGGUGAACUCAGUAAUCAUCAAGCUUGAAUCUCCUCUAUCAUGUUUUUAACUCUUUCACAAUAAGAAGCUGAUAAAAAAAAUAAAAAUAAAAUCUUGAGAUAAAAGGGGUUUCAUUAAGAAACAAGCAAAGAGAGUGCUCUGCUGUGCUUUGCUCUUUAACAAGGUGACGGUGGAUUUUUUUGGAUUUUGUUUGGAGAAUCCAAACAAGUGUUCGUGUAUAACAUGGUCUGAUAUGUGUGUAUGCUGUAUGUACAUUUUUUUUUCAAAAAUGUAUCUUUCUGUCUAUGUCAUGUAAUGCUCUGUAUUUAAUAAAGUAAAUAUUAUGAUUCAGACAGCAGCACAAGACACUUUCAGUUUUUGAGUGUUUUUAAUUGUUGCAUUUUUGGCAUCACCUAUUUCACCUAUUUCAAUGUUGUAAAUGAGUCUUGUAUAAAACAUCAAAAUAAACUGUUUACUUAAACAA
Molecule: long non-coding RNA, 1971 nt
Organism: Haplochromis burtoni (Burton's mouthbrooder)
Lineage: Eukaryota; Metazoa; Chordata; Actinopteri; Cichliformes; Cichlidae
Exons: 2
Source: RefSeq, a predicted model, not a curated record